UACCCUAUAUGUUGCCCAGUCUUAAUAGCUAUAUAACAAAAAAAAAAUCAUUCAAAUCUGUCCAGUAGUUCCGAAGUUUAGCGUGAACAGAUUUUUUUUUCAAAUUCUUUGUUGCUGUGACUCUAUCGCCUAAUUUUAUUUUUAUGUAAAUGUAUUCAAUAUACAGGAUUUUCUACUGUUUUAUUAAAUGUAUUGAUUUGACUUAUUUACUAGUAGAUUUCUGAUAUAAAAACCGUAAACCAAACACUAAAAGCAAUGUUUGUCCACUAUAAAUGACAGCGAAAAUACAAGUUUUAGUGAAAAUCCACUAAGUUGGCAACACUGGGGGUGUUUACAGGUUAUUUAUUUUUUGUUCUGGCCGGGGUGAUACGUAUACGACACUAUCAAUAUCAAUGGACACUUAGGUACCUACAUACUAUAUACUGUAGCGUAUACGAUAAUAUAAAAAAGGUAGGUAGGUACCUACACUACAGAUCUACAGCAGGCGUAAUAGGUACAGACGUAGUGGUGUGUAAACAAAAAAGCAAAACGCAAUGUUGAAAAAUCUCAGACAAUUAGAAGAGGAUUUAGAGAGCGACGAUGAAUUUCCAAGUCAUUAUGUUGAAACUCCAGAUAUCCCAGCAUAUAAGAAUGAUAGACGCUUUGACAAGCUUCAAUUUCCUUGGCUUAUAAAGUAUCUCAACAAAAAAAAAGAAUUGGCAGAUAUUUGGAAACCUGUCCUUUAUUCUACCAUUAAUGAACAAACUGUAUUAGAAAAAACAAAAGAAUUAAGCUAUGGAGAAAAAAUACUUAUAACUGAAGGUGUACUUAAUCAAGGAGACAUAACAUGCCUGAAAUGUAUAGAAAGCAAUUGUUCUGACUCAACAUUGCUUUGGCUUCUCAAUUUCUUCAUGUAUAAAGACUUGCAAUCUCACUAUAGCUUUAUGAGGACAUGUUUGACUGAAAGUCUUUUAGAGGAUACUUAUGAUUCAUCAUUGGACUCUAUUACAAAACUGCACAAUUUUGAAAUAGUAGUGGGUAACCAAGGACUUAGCACUACAUGAUUUCAGUGGUGUUGCAAAAGAUACACAAGAAUGUAAUAAUAAAAUAUAUAUUUUUUUUUA
This is a long non-coding RNA of Plodia interpunctella (Indianmeal moth), 1103 nucleotides long. RefSeq lists it as uncharacterized. The record is from RefSeq and is a predicted model, not a curated record. The transcript is spliced from 2 exons. Lineage: Eukaryota; Metazoa; Arthropoda; Insecta; Lepidoptera; Pyralidae.